UGCCCCAUGGCUGAGUUGGUUACAGCGUCUGACUGUUAUCACUAGGAAAACGCAGUGCAGAUUAUCAAUCAGAAGGUCAUGAGCUUGAGCUUCACUGGGGCAG
This is a non-coding RNA of Marasmius tenuissimus, 103 nucleotides long. Lineage: Eukaryota; Fungi; Basidiomycota; Agaricomycetes; Agaricales; Marasmiaceae. The record is from the annotation of a GenBank genome assembly.